RNAcentral lists this ribosomal RNA (867 nucleotides) under uncultured crenarchaeote. Its description in RNAcentral is "bacterial SSU rRNA". It matches the Rfam family "Archaeal small subunit ribosomal RNA", at positions 21 to 865 of the family's 1478-position model. The record is from RNAcentral. Lineage: Archaea; Thermoproteati; Thermoproteota.
ACCCCACUGCUAUCGGGAUAGGACUAAGACAUGCUAGUCGAGCGCUUUCGAGCCAUGUUGAGAGCGCGGCACACAGCUCAGUAACACGUGGCUAAUCUGCCCUUAGGACGAGAACAACCCCGGGAAACUGGGGCUAAUUCUCGAUAGGCGAAGAACUCUGGAAUGAGUCUUUACCUAAAUAGUGCAACGUUAUCCUCGUUGCAUCGCCUAAGGAUGAGGCCGCGACCGAUCAGGUUGUUGGUGAGGUAAUGGCUCACCAAGCCUUUUACCGGUGCGGGCCGUGAGAGCGGGAGCCCGGAGAUGGGCACUGAGACAAGGGCCCAGGCCCUACGGGGCGCAGCAGUCGCGAAAACUUUGCAAUAAGCGAAAGCUUGACAGGGCUAUCCCAAGUGCCAUCCGCUGAGGAAGGCUUUUACCCAGUCUAGAACGCUGGGGGAAUAAGGAGAGGGCAAGUCUGGUGUCAGCCGCCGCGGUAAUACCAGCUCUCCGAGUGGUGUGGAUGUUUAUUGGGCCUAAAGCAUCCGUAGCUGGCUGAGUUAGUCCCUUGUUAAAUCCACCGAAUUAAUCGUUGGAUUGCGGGGGAUACUGCUCGGCUAGGGGACGAGAGAGGCAGACGGUAUUUCCGGGGUAGGGGUGAAAUCCUAUAAUCCCGGGAAGACCACCAGUGGCGAAGGCUGUCUGCUAGAACGCGCCCGACGGUGAGGGAUGAAAGCUGGGGGAGCGAACCGGAUUAGAUACCCGGGUAGUCCCAGCUGUAAACGAUGCAGGCUAGGUGUUUGGACGGCCACGUGCCGUUCUAGUGCCGCAGGGAAGCUGUUAAGCCUGCCGCCUGGGGAGUACGAUCGCAAGAUUGAAACUUAAAGGAAU